ACUUAUUCGCCCCCCUGGUCGUGCCCACAACCGCAUCAGGUCUCCCAGGUUAGCUGCCUCUGGUCUGUGGAAUGAACUGGGUGAGGGAAGUCGGCAAAUUGGAUCUGGAACUUUGGGAAAAGGAUUGGCUCUGAGGGGUGGGUGUGGGGAUCCUUGUGUUGAUGCUUGAACCAA
This 174-nucleotide ribosomal RNA is filed under the name Schizochytrium aggregatum. RNAcentral describes it as "partial Eukaryotic large subunit ribosomal RNA". It matches the Rfam family "Eukaryotic large subunit ribosomal RNA", at positions 1824 to 1997 of the family's 3401-position model. The record is from RNAcentral. Lineage: Eukaryota; Bigyra; Thraustochytrida; Thraustochytriidae.